CGAUGCAUUUAGCUAGUUGGUAAGGUAACGGGGCGUUACCAAGGCGAUGAUGCAUAGCCCGAGUUGAGAGACUGAUCGGCCGACAUUGGGGACUGAGACACGGGCCCAAACUCCUACGGGAGGCAGCAGUAGGGAAUCUUCCACAAUGGACGAAAGUCUGAUGGAGCAAACGCCGCGUGAGUGAAGAAGGUUUUCGGAUCGUAAAGACUCUGUUGUUGGUGAAGAAGGAUAGAGGUAGUAACUGGCCCUUUAUUUGACGGUAAUCAACCAGAAAGUCACGGGCUAACUACGUGCCAGCAGCCGCGGUAAAU
RNAcentral lists this ribosomal RNA (311 nucleotides) under uncultured Lactobacillus sp. Its description in RNAcentral is "bacterial SSU rRNA". It matches the Rfam family "Bacterial small subunit ribosomal RNA", at positions 234 to 525 of the family's 1533-position model. Lineage: Bacteria; Bacillati; Bacillota; Bacilli; Lactobacillales; Lactobacillaceae. The record is from RNAcentral.